UACAGAGGUCUCAAGCGUUGUUCGGAUUCAUUGGGCGUAAAGGGUGCGUAGGCGGUGGAGUAAGUCAGGUGUGAAAUCUCGGGGCUCAACCCCGAAACUGCACUUGAUACUGCUUUGCUAGAGUACUGGAGAGGAGAUUGGAAUUUACGGUGUAGCAGUGAAAUGCGUAGAUAUCGUAAGGAAGACCAGUGGCGAAGGCGAAUCUCUGGACAGUUACUGACGCUGAGGCACGAAGGCCAGGGGAGCAAACGGG
This 253-nucleotide ribosomal RNA is filed under the name uncultured bacterium. RNAcentral describes it as "partial 16S ribosomal RNA". It matches the Rfam family "Bacterial small subunit ribosomal RNA", at positions 524 to 776 of the family's 1533-position model. The record is from RNAcentral.